This 426-nucleotide ribosomal RNA is filed under the name uncultured prokaryote. RNAcentral's name for it is "bacterial SSU rRNA". It matches the Rfam family "Bacterial small subunit ribosomal RNA", at positions 355 to 796 of the family's 1533-position model. The record is from RNAcentral.
UGGGGAAUUUUCCGCAAUGGGCGAAAGCCUGACGGAGCAAUACCGCGUGAGGGAGGAAGGCUUUUGGGUUGUAAACCUCUUUUCUCAAGGAAGAAGUUCUGACGGUACUUGAGGAAUCAGCAUCGGCUAACUCCGUGCCAGCAGCCGCGGUAAUACGGAGGAUGCAAGCGUUAUCCGGAAUGAUUGGGCGUAAAGCGCGCGUAGGUGGUUUUGUAAGUCGGAUGUGAAAGCCCAGGGCUUAACCUUGGAACUGCAUUCGAUACUGCUUAACUAGAGUAUGGUAGAGGGAAGUGGAAUUUCCGGUGUAGCGGUGAAAUGCGUAGAUAUCGGAAGGAACACCAGUGGCGAAGGCGACUUCCUGGGCCAAUACUGACACUGAGGUGCGAAAGCGUGGGGAGCAAACAGGAUUAGAUACCCGGGUAGUCC